CCGCCACCGCCAUGUUGUGGGCGGAACAACAUGGGGUCUGCGAUGUGUCUGGGAGCGGGAUGCUCUUAGCCCUGGUAACUAAUGACAGAAUUAGAGAUAACAGCCUUAAGUUGUGGCAGGAGAAUUUCAGCAUGGAUAAUAGGAAACUGAAUAGGAACUGGACAGUGCUUCUCAGUGUGCUGUUUGUAAAAAUAGCACAGUCCUUAUUCGGUGAUAGAUUCAACUAUUGUCAGGAGCUAUAAGAGGUGAAGUAAGAAGACUGCAGGUUGUGCCUAUCUUUUUAAAGCUUUAUCAUCUUUUUCUGUGUUACUUUACAGGCAGCAGGUGAUUCUUGUGAGUUAAUGGGAUAUUGGAAAUACUUCAAACCAGUGGUAUGUGUUUCAGUACCAAAACUAUUAACAGGCGUUGGUAACAGAUAACAGGUAUUACUAAAGUGAAAGAUGAUAUGCACGUAAGAAAUGCUUUUAAAUCUCUUAUUACAGGUUUGAUUGUAAACAUUCCCUCUUUAACAAGAGUUGUAUCUAAAAUGUUGGUUGAUGUUUAGUUGCGUCUAAAUGACCUGUGAUUAAAGAAUACAAAUGGGUCUCUUCCACCAUUGAAUUGUACUUAUGCAGUCAGUGAUACACAUGGGGAAAUAAGCCAUCAGAGUACGGCAAACAUUUCUGGAAAGGUGGUUUCCAGUAUUUUUGGUAGCUUUGUGAGCAGUGCAGUGACUGGGCAGUUUGCAAAGCAGGCACAUUUUUUGAUGUAUUUUAUUCAUCAAUGGUAUAUAUGAUACAAAUACAUAUUUCUGUGAUUCACUGAUAUGCAGUGACUACACAGCAAUUACAGAUAGAAACGUAAAUACCUGAAGAACAAAGAGCUGUCAGACUUUAAACAAAACUGAAGUUUCUGCAUCUGAAGCUAAAGAAUAAAGGCCUUUGGUCCGAUCACCUCAUGGCUGUUUCUAAUGUUAGGUCUCUGACUUCUUACUGCAGCCAUCAGUAGCUCGAGUUCCACAUUUGGAAUUACACCAUCCCAGCACUGAUGAAUAAUUCUUCUGCUAACAAGCAGCUGAUACUACCAGCAGAGAUGUCAGCUUAGAGGUGCACAGUUGGAGCACUACUAGUAGCAGUGAGAACAGAAACUAACAGGUAUUUUUUGAUGUUUCUUUGCACUCACCACAACAAAAUCCAACUCUUCAAAAUCAAAUGCAUCUCACAUUUCUAUUGAGCUGGUUACACGUAAAAUGUGUUGCAACAGUUACUGGUCUCCUACAUCAAAUUUGUUCUUAAAAAGUUACUUUCACAGUAAUGCUGAAUUUCUUAGCAGGAGAAAGUAUUUAUCUUUGUAUGAGGUAUUGACUUCAGUAUCUAUCUGUAUAAACACAAAAUGUAGCACUUUAUUUACCUGAAUACGGACUGUAUUUUAAUGUUUCUAACAGUAUCCACACACACUUCUAACAGUGAGAAUCUAUGGGACUUACCCACCUGCACAUACAAAGGAAACUGCUGGAGAAUGUAACCACUAUGUGCUGCGCUAUAUCUUGCAUGGUCCAGGUUAGCUGCAAAUACGAAAUACAGCUUCUCACACCUGUUUUUAGCAGAACAGAUCAUUGCAACUACAAAAAAUAAAAUCCAACUAUACCACAGAGCUGGCAUAAAACUGGAAUGUAUGCAGUUAUCACGCUUGUUUAGGAGCAGAACUUCUCUGAUGUACAGAUGGUUACUUAGGUGUUACAAAGCUUGUAUGCAGAUUCCUUUGGCUGGAGUAUUUAGUUUAUUUAACUUAUGCAGAGGUCAGCCUUACUCCUUGGUUUCAGAAAGCAGUACUUAGUCAAAAUCCAGUUCUUUCAGAAAUCAGCUAACAUUUUCCAAUGUUCUUCGUAAUGACUGGAUCAGCUCCCAGCAUUAAGAACAUGAAUAUUCACUAAAAUAGAAGCUUUAGUUCAGUUAAUUAUAAUAAUCUGUUUUGGUUUUUUUCCUUCCUGACUGCACAAUUCUUUUUAACACUUUGGAUAAUCCAGAUCCAUCCCUGGCAAUGUUCAAGAGGUGUCUGGAUGAGGAGCUACGAGAGAUGGUUUAGUGGUUUGCUGUAGCUAGAGUAAUUGGAGGAUGGUUGGACUAAAUGAUCUUGUAGGUCCUUUCCAUUCUUGUGAUUCUGUGACCCAGGAGAAACAGCAAAGGUUGCAAUAAUGUACUGAGAAUCAAGAGGCAAUGUUUUGCACUGUAAAAUGCCUACAUUUGUAAUGUUUUGAGUUUGUCAUAUUAAAAAUUAACACUGGAAGUUACAGUAGUUUCUUGGUAUUAAGCUGCCACCCUUGUGAGGUAAGAAAUCCAAGGGAAACAACCUGUAAGGUCCAGAGCCAGAAGAGCUGUUACAAGUAACACAAUUCCAUGCAUUUUGAUGACUUCAGCAAUCUCAGAAAGUAAAUAUGAGAGGAAUACACUGACCAGCCUGGAAUUCCUCCCUUCAGAUUAAACCACACAGCAGCAUAUGGAUGAAAUAUUUUGUUUCAGCUCAUAUUGUUUUGACAAAGAAGGGAUUGUAAACUUAGUCUCAAAUAGUUAGGAACACACCCAUCACAUACACAUUUGACUUGAGCAGAUGGAAGAUUCUCACACAGAAUAAAGAAUUAUAUGAUUGGUUUAACUCAAAUAUGUGAGAUGAGCUACGUGACAAAAAGGGAGUACGUGAAGCAACACUUGGACUGUGCCUGAGGACAUGCAGAAGGUGGGUGUGGGAAAGAAAGCUGGGAAUUUAUGUCAAAGAUGUAUCUAUCUCAUAAAAUUAAACAGUGCAAUAUAAAGGUUAAUAAUUAAAGCCA
Long non-coding RNA from Coturnix japonica (Japanese quail), 2806 nucleotides. RefSeq lists it as uncharacterized. The record is from RefSeq and is a predicted model, not a curated record. NCBI's taxonomy places the organism in Eukaryota, Metazoa, Chordata, Aves, Galliformes, Phasianidae.